GUUGCAAGUUCAGAUCAGCUGAGGGAUUUUGCUCUGAAGUGCAAUGCUCUCGUUUGUUGUUGCCCGUGUUUGCCCCCAAACUGGAGUGUGGAGAUUGAAUGUUGUUGGAGAUGGCGAAAAUGACUGGUCUUGGCCUUGGUUUCCCUAACCUGACCAGGCAACAAAAUCCUCGUUUCCUCAUCUUACGCCUAUGUAGUGGAUUAUAGGUUAACCAGAUUCCUACACGCUCCUUCUAGCAAACGAACCUCUGCUCGGUAGUAAACUCUAGUUGUUUCUCGUGC
This 281-nucleotide long non-coding RNA is filed under the name Hordeum vulgare. Its description in RNAcentral is "long non-coding RNA (HVUL_LNC009173)". Lineage: Eukaryota; Viridiplantae; Streptophyta; Magnoliopsida; Poales; Poaceae. The record is from RNAcentral.